CAAUGCGUUUUUGCAGUGCAGCAAUGCAUUUUGUUUCUACACUAUGUUUACCAUUUUUAAAGCUAUUAUUAUAUUAUAUUAUAUUAUAUAGAUCCUAUAUUCUAAUUCUAUUUAGGCCUACUAUCAACUUAAUAUGUUAUCAAGUGUCAGGACAAGUUUAUAAUUUUAUGUACUAUGUAAACGCUGUGUAAUGUGUUUGAUGGGCGCGCGCGUUGAACAUUCGACGCGCAUUUAAACUGUGGAGGGAGUUACCAUGGAAACGGGGCGGCAGCUCAGCUGAGAAGUAGCAAAUCUCUCCGUCUCUCACUGUUGUUUUUACUGCUUUCAGAAAUGGUUCAGUGUCAUGGGAAUAAGUCCGUUAGCAUCACAACCGUGAGCUAACAGAGGCUAACUAUAAGAGCAGAGUUGGAGUGGACCUCUUGUUGAAGAACUUCUCCAGGCACUAUGAACCAUCUGACUAGCCAUCCUGUUUAACACUGCACUGAGGACACUACAACCAGAGAGGUACAACAUAAUUCAAAAUGAGACACAGAUGAUAAUAAAAAAAGGGCUUUGAAAUGAAAAUUAAUCCUGGUAAGACAGAACCGAGUACUGUGACUGCGCCUCACUUCAAAGUGAAACAGUCUGUAAAGGUCAUCUGCCAUGCCAGAUCGAUGGUGAAGGUGGGAAUUAUAAGUAAGAUUUUCUAAACUUUAAAUGUAGUAAAGUGUUUGUUCAAGUAGACUUUGUUGCUUGUGGAAACCUCACACAAGCCUGAAAGGUGCUUUAAACUUAAAUCUUAUUUUCACUCUUGAAAACUGUUCACCAAAGACUAAAUUUCAGUCCAGCAGAAUUUUCUGCACACUUCACCACCAAGAUCAAAAUGAGCAUUGUGAAUGUAAAAGCUUCACAUUACAUUUAUAACCACCAUUGUUUAUAUUUGAAUUUUAUUAUGCCAGGAAAGUGGACAAUACCGGAUUUUUUGACCAAACAUAUUUAGGGUUCAGAUCGUGCUAUACGUGCUAUACACAUUUUUUUUAAAAAUGGCAUUUAUCAGUUUUUGCAAAUGAACUUUUCACACUUGCCAUACUCCAACAGGGUGAACGCACUGACCAAACAAAACAAAAUUGGUGGCAGUGUGAAAUGACCAUAAUGCUGUAUGUUAGGUGUGAGAUUCAUUAAACCCGGUUUGCUAUAAUACAUCUAUUCAGAAGUGCACCAGUGUGAACCAUAAUUUCCCCCACAUUUGCUGUGUAUCCAUAAAGUCAUAUCUAUUGCCGCGUUUCCACCGAAAUUACCCGGAACAAUUGUACCAGGAACUUUUUUGCCCAGGAACUAUUUUUCCCCAACAGACCUGUUGCUUUCAGCGUUUCCACCGCGGUCUAAAGUACCGUGAAGAUUAGGCAAAUAGUCUGGUGACGUAAGCCUGCGCGUGUUUCUCAAUACAGAGUACGCAUAUUUCGGACUUGCAUCCUCGGUAGUUCGGACUUUGCAAGUUCGACUCGGGAGUGUGAUCUCCCGCGGACAAAACAACGCAAGUCUGGUAAUUCUGCAAACAACAGCGUACUUAACAUCAGUCAGCUCGCCUUGGCUACUGCAAUUUUCCUCACUGUAUAUUUACAAUAAGACGAAAAGGGCUAUGAUAUCAAAUACCACUGCCUCCUUUUGUUUUCAUUUAAACAUAAUAAUAAUAGCCGCAGAAAUGUACUUCGUUCAGGGAAAUGUGUAUAUAUACAGCCUACAAUACAAUGAAAUGAAAUAUUAUAUCAAUUUCCUUUUUAUUUUCAUUUUAAAGGGUUAGUUCAUCUAAAAAUGUAAAUUAUGUCAUUAAUGACUCGUUCCAUGUUGUUCCAAACCCAUAAGACCUCAGUUCAUCUUCGGAACACAGUUUAAGAGAUUUUAGAUUUAGUCCGAGAGCUUUCUGACCCUCCA
This is a long non-coding RNA of Cyprinus carpio carpio, 1911 nucleotides long. The record is from Ensembl. Lineage: Eukaryota; Metazoa; Chordata; Actinopteri; Cypriniformes; Cyprinidae.